This 470-nucleotide ribosomal RNA is filed under the name uncultured Desulfobulbus sp. RNAcentral describes it as "bacterial SSU rRNA". It matches the Rfam family "Bacterial small subunit ribosomal RNA", at positions 910 to 1382 of the family's 1533-position model. Lineage: Bacteria; Pseudomonadati; Thermodesulfobacteriota; Desulfobulbia; Desulfobulbales; Desulfobulbaceae. The record is from RNAcentral.
UUGACGGGGCCGCACAAGCGGUGGAGCAUGUGGUUUAAUUCGAAGCAACGCGAAGAACCUUACCAGGUCUUGACAUCCCGAUGCUAUUUCUAGAGAUAGAAAGUUACUUCGGUACAUCGGUGACAGGUGGUGCAUGGUUGUCGUCAGCUCGUGUCGUGAGAUGUUGGGUUAAGUCCCGCAACGAGCGCAACCCUUGCCUUUAGUUGCCAGCAGUUCGGCUGGGCACUCUAAAGGGACUGCCGGUGUCAAACCGGAGGAAGGUGGGGAUGACGUCAAGUCCUCAUGGCCUUUAUGGCCAGGGCUACACACGUACUACAAUGGCCGGUACAAAGGGCAGCGACAUUGCGAGAUGGAGCGAAUCCCGAAAAGCCGGUCUCAGUCCGGAUUGGAGUCUGCAACUCGACUCCAUGAAGUUGGAAUCGCUAGUAAUCGUGGAUCAGCAUGCCACGGUGAAUACGUUCCCGGGCCUU